UCGUGGUCGCCGUUAGGCAGUCGAGUAGUUGAUAUGGCUACAGGACGAACGCUGGCGGCGUGCCUAACACAUGCAAGUCGAACGGAGUUAAUGAUUCGGUGUUAACUUAGUGGCGAACGGGUGAGUAACGCGUGAACAACCUGACCCAAAGAGGGGGAUAACAUUUGGAAACAGAUGCUAAUACCGCAUAAGACCACAACGUCACAUGGCGAAGGGGUCAAAGGAGCAAUCCGCUUUGGGAGGGGUUCGCGUCCCAUUAGGUAGUAGGCGGGGUAACAGCCCACCUAGCCAACGAUGGGUAGCCGAGCUGAGAGGCUGAUCGGCCACACUGGAACUGAGACACGGUCCAGACUCCUACGGGAGGCAGCAGUGGGGAAUAUUGGGCAAUGGGCGCAAGCCUGAACCCCCAGCAACGCCGCGUGAGGGAAGAAGGUUUUCGGAUUGUAAACCUCUGUCGCAGAAGACGAAGGAAGUGACGGUAUUCUGUGAGGAAGCCCCGGCUAACUACGUGCCAGCAGCCGC
This 522-nucleotide ribosomal RNA is filed under the name uncultured bacterium. RNAcentral's name for it is "bacterial SSU rRNA". It matches the Rfam family "Bacterial small subunit ribosomal RNA", at positions 1 to 518 of the family's 1533-position model. The record is from RNAcentral.